GUGCUCGCUUUGGCAGCACAUACACUAAAAUUGGAACGAUACAGAGAAGAUUAGCGUGGCCCCUGCGCAAGGAUGACAUGCAAAUUCGUGAAGCGUUCCUUUUUUUU
This 107-nucleotide small nuclear RNA is filed under the name Myotis brandtii (Brandt's bat). Lineage: Eukaryota; Metazoa; Chordata; Mammalia; Chiroptera; Vespertilionidae. The record is from RNAcentral.